UGCGUAGGCGGAUUGGCAAGUCAGAAGUGAAAUCCAUGGGCUUAACCCAUGAACUGCUUUUGAAACUGUUAGUCUUGAGUGAAGUAGGGGUAGGCGGAAUUCCCGGUGUAGCGGUGAAAUGCGUAGAGAUCGGGAGGAACACCAGUGGCGAAGGCGGCCUACUGGGCUUUAACUGACGCUGAGGCACGAAAGUGUGGGUAAGCAAACA
Molecule: ribosomal RNA, 208 nt
Filed under: uncultured bacterium
Lineage: Bacteria
Description: partial 16S ribosomal RNA
Rfam family: Bacterial small subunit ribosomal RNA
Source: RNAcentral